Molecule: unclassified non-coding RNA, 313 nt
Filed under: uncultured fungus
Lineage: Eukaryota; Fungi
Description: partial contains 5.8S ribosomal RNA, internal transcribed spacer 2, and large subunit ribosomal RNA
Rfam family: 5.8S ribosomal RNA (bases 1-52)
Source: RNAcentral
AACGCACCUUGCGCCCUUUGGUAUUCCGAAGGGCAUGCCUGUUUGAGUGUCAUUAAAUUCUCAACUUCAAAAUGCUUUGCUGCAUUUUUGAAGCUUGGACUUUGGAGGAUCAUUUGCCGGCAUUGACUUGUCAGCUCCUCUUAAAUGCAUUAGCGGAACUUUAUUAAGGACCAGCUUUGGUUUGAUAAUCCUAUCUAUGCCGUCGCUGUGGACUUUGCUUGUUCAGCUUCUAAUGGUCUUCGGACUGUCUCUUUUUGAGGCAUACACUUUUAAGCUUGACCUCAAAUCAGGUAGGACUACCCGCUGAACUUAA